UGAACAGGAAAGUGAGAACAAAGGCGUUGUUGUAGCCAUUUUGGCCAUGCUACAACGAUGCAGACAGCUCUCUUUGUCACUCCUACAACGUGCUUGUUCAAACAACACAUUUUCUUUCAGGUUUUGUGCUUUAGGCAGAGUGACAUGAUGCAGGAUGGAGUUGCGAAGAGUUCCAGGACAUGGUCAAAGAUGGCUGGAACAGUCGGAUGGAUUUGCAAUCAUGCAAUAAAGGCCCACAUGAGACGCCAUGGUCAAAUGGUUGGAGAUCGUUGAGAGUUUGCAGCUAUUGAUGAAAGUUGUUGUAAUAAUAGCAAGUAUCACCACAGAAGGGCCGGUGCAACAUGGCGACGGAAAAAGUGGGUAUUAAGAAUAUUAGGAGUAGGUGACCGCCAGAAACAUCCUGUCUUGUGGCUGGUGUGGUUAAACAAGUGCGUCCGGGAACCACCGUCAUCAGUGACCAAUGGGGCACUUACAGGAGUGCAUUGACUGCGACAGGCUACAGGCACUUCACAGUGAACCACUGUCAGUAGUUUGCGGAUCCAAACACCUUGCGCGCCUCCCAGUAUGUCAACCCCAGCUUUCUCUGUGGA
Long non-coding RNA from Engraulis encrasicolus (European anchovy), 590 nucleotides. RefSeq lists it as uncharacterized. The transcript has 3 exons. NCBI's taxonomy places the organism in Eukaryota, Metazoa, Chordata, Actinopteri, Clupeiformes, Engraulidae. The record is from RefSeq and is a predicted model, not a curated record.